Molecule: non-coding RNA, 73 nt
Organism: Gossypium hirsutum (cotton)
Lineage: Eukaryota; Viridiplantae; Streptophyta; Magnoliopsida; Malvales; Malvaceae
Source: Rfam
GCGAGGAUAGCUCAAUUAGGAGAGCGUUAGACUGAAAAUUUGAAGUUCACGUGUUUGAUCCACGUUCAUCGCA